UCCUGAAGUUAUACACCAUGCCCUUGACAAUUUUUUUUUCUUCCGGAAGGUUUUCAGAGAAGAAGUAAGAGAACAUCCAUUAGAUGAAAGUGUUCUGGAGAAGACACUGUUUAUUUGACUUGUGCAAUCUUCUCCAGUGACUGCAUACAAAGUGUUGGUGAUAGAAGUCCUGUCUCCGAUCGUUCCACAAACAGCACCCGAUAAGGAAAGCUUGCUGUUUCCCUGUAUGAUAGCGUAUUAAAAGAAGGCAUGAUUGACAGGAAGCAGAAUGAAGAUGAAGAGGAGGAGUCCUGCCACAGCAAGCUGAUGGCAGGCCUGUGAGUGAUUCCAGCAUCUGCAAUCCCUUGUCUUCAAGCUACUUCAUCGCAGGCAGUAGAAAAUUCAGUGGCAGGAAUCUGUCCCAAAUUUUCAGACUUUCAGCAUUGUUCACCAAUAGUUGAACAGGAUCAGAAAACCAUUCAGAUUUUUGCUUCUGUGAUUCAGUAGCACCGGCGAUCCACUGUCUCCUGACUGAGGUGAAGUACUGUGGUCGGCUCUACCACUUGUGUGAGAUCAGUGGAACUGCACACAGCUAAAAGCAGAACUUUUAAAUUUAUUAAUUCCAUAAGAAGAUUUGAAGAACUCAGGUCUUGGAGACUUGACAAAUGCCAGUGACCUUGAGAAAGACAAGGAAAUGGAGCAAGAGGCUUUGAACAGUAAAGCUAGUAUAGGAGUGUAAGAGUCCCUGGAUGAUAGUUAAGGAAGCGCAAAUGAAAUCAUAGAAUGAUCAGGGAGAAUUCUGCAUCAGAUACCUACCCCACAUGUUGUAGGAGCCCGGUACACCUGGGUGUAGAUCCUGCCUGCUUUGAAGGUGAAAGGGCUUGAUGGACUGCAUGAAGAUCACAAUUACCACAGGAAUGAAUCCUUUACAUGGAUACAGCAAUGAAGAAUCCUUCUACAUAUGAGUGUAAUGGUAUUCCUGAGUCUCCAGCUGGAAAUUGCAUGGCUGACAGCAGUGAAAACCAAGAGGAAGCUACUGAUGUGAUGAAGGAAGCCCUGAACACUACCAGAGAUAGAGGGCCUUCAUUGCUGCCCUGAAUACUAGCAGCAUAAUGGGCAUUAAGUAGGAAUUAAAGAAGGAGACUUGUGCCAUGGAGACACUAAAAACUGCAGAUGCUGGAAUCUGGAGCAAAAAACAAACUGCUGGAGAAACUUAAUGGGUCAAACAGCAUUUGUGGAGACAGAAUAUUGGAAAUGUUUCAGGUCAAGACUCUGCAUCUGGGCUUGUUUCAUGCUAGCUACCUUUCUUGAUUACAUUAAGACCAAUUCCACCCCUUUCUCCCCAACAGCCUUCAAAUUUCCAAUUCUGUUCUAAUUGUUUUAUUCUUUGUCUCCGCAACCUGUUGUGAUAAAAUAUUUCUUAUCACACAAUGUAUCAAAAGAAAGUAAUUCCUGCUUUUGGUGUUUUUGUAAUAAUCCUAAGCAAGUGAGCCAACAAAAGGAGUAUUUUAAAUGUUUUAACCUUUCAAAGCCUCUCACAAUUUGGCAGUUCUCUCUCUUCCAGUGGAUUCCUGUUUUGAGUUUUCUUACUACUAGUUUUUAACAACUUCCUUUUAUCCUUGGAGCAUCCUUUUCAAUUAUUGCUGUCUUCAUUCUAUAUUGUCCUGCUAAUGAGCUGCCUAAAUAUGCAUACAAUACUCAAAUCAAUGUUUUGUAAAUAAUUUCCUUGAUUUCAUAUUCAAUAUCAUGGUAUGUAAAGAGCAGAUUCAGGAUAAAUAU
Molecule: long non-coding RNA, 1758 nt
Organism: Mobula hypostoma (lesser devil ray)
Lineage: Eukaryota; Metazoa; Chordata; Chondrichthyes; Myliobatiformes; Myliobatidae
Exons: 6
Source: RefSeq, a predicted model, not a curated record